Molecule: long non-coding RNA, 2007 nt
Organism: Tupaia belangeri chinensis (Chinese tree shrew)
Lineage: Eukaryota; Metazoa; Chordata; Mammalia; Scandentia; Tupaiidae
Exons: 3
Source: RefSeq, a predicted model, not a curated record
CUCCUUGUCCUGCAUUGGCCAACUCACUGCCUGCCCUCACAGAGGAGGAGUGAAACUCGAAGUUAAAUAUAUACUUUUAGACUAUUUUUGCAAGCCUAAGAAUUCUGGAGGAACUUCUUGCAGGCACACCAGGGGGAAGCACGGCCCACCACUGGACCGAGCGUUGAGAAGCGAAUAAAAGAAGAGAAAGAACGCCUCUGAGCUUAGAAAACUGACCCUCCUUUUGUGCUGAAAAGAUAGGUCCUAGAGAACAAUAGAAAGAAGGACUGUCCACGAUUCCGUGCCAACGGACAGCCAGGAAUUCUUGUAUUAACGCAUUCGACAAAUACUUACUGAGAACCUGCUAUCUCAUGGACACUGUUUUGGGUGUCGAGGACACGAAGAUGAUCGAGGCAAUGUCUUGGCCAUCGAGGAACUUACAAAGCAGUGAGAAGGGACAGAUGCGUCAAGAAAGGUCUGGCAGAGCUGGUGACACUUGCCGUUUCUGCAGUCUUUCCAGUGGGAAUGGAAAGAUCUGAAGUUCAGAAACUUUGUGGACCAAGUAACCUGAAGACUUUGGGGAAACUAUCUAACUUCCCUAAGCCUUGAUUUCCACUUCUGCAAAAUGGAGGAUGCAUGCACUGAGAAGGUUGAAUGACCUAAAGCUGACCCCCAUUGCAGGAAGGAAUGGACAUGCUGGCUACAAAAGUCAAUAAUGGACCAAUGGGAACACUGCUCAGAUGAACCAAUCAGAACCGCACCAGUUCCAGUCCUUUCUUUGUAUAGACUAACCUAAUUGAAGACUUGGGCAGGAAUUAUUCCUCUACAAAAGCCUAUCCCCUCACACUUUGGGGGAGGCAGUCUUUUGAGCAAGCUAGCUCCAUGCCCCUCAACUGAUGUCACCAAUAAUAAAAGUCUUCCUCUUCGGUGGGAAGAGAUUGGCUCUUCUGGCAGUGAGCAACUGAUUCCGGGCCCUGUCUAGAUUGGUGCAGUAACAACAGCCUACCCGAAGUUAAAGAAUUCAGCAGAAGCAGGCAAACAACCUCGGCUGGAGGACUUGAGGAAGUAGACUCUGAAGGGUGAUUUUCUCUCACAUGUGCACAUGUGCACUAUUAUGAACUUUUGUAAAAAAAUAACUUUCUUUCUAAACAUGUGAAAUGUAUACUUUUGCAAACCUAAGUUCACUUUUUCACUGACAUAAGGUUCAAGAAUACUUUGCUCAUCAGUUUGUAUAUUUCCCUUGACUAUAAAUAUCUUCCCAUGUAUUUGAUGUAGAAAUUGAAACAGAAUAUUAAGUCUCUUUCUUAACAAAUCUGGAGCAGCAAAUUCUUUGCUAAAAACAUAGUUCUUUUUGUCAAAAGCUGUUGUUUCCUCAGGGGAAGUGAACAUUAUAUCUGCGACAUCUUAUAAAGAGAAAUUAAAGGGAGCUCCUUUACCCAAGUGACAAGUUUCAAAUUUGAAUUCUGUGUCAAAAGAAGGAUAUCUCUUUGUGAUUUAAAAAAUAAUAAUAAUAAUUAAAGGAUGUCAUGGCACAUUUUCCAAUGACAAUUGCUUUUCAGAUCCCUCACAUAUGUUAUGUGCAUAUUGCUUAUGACACAUUAUAGAUCAGAUAAUACAGCAAUGGGGGUUUAGAGUCGGAUGGAUUAACCGUAAGUAGGCAAAUCGUUAUUCUGCCACAUGAUUGUAAAGUUCAGCCUCCCUGCCAAACAAUUAUCAAUUUAAUCCUUAAUAGUUACACGGUCAAAUUAAAUACUGAUUUUUCCCCAUUUAAUGUAACUAAGGUUUUUUUUAAAAUCAUCUUCCAAAUAUCCUCUACCUUUAACAACUUCUGCAGCACAUAGUAGCCUUUAAUAAACAUUGGAUAGUAUUUUUAUUCUCUUUCCUGGACCCUGCAGGAUAUGAGAAAGAAAUGCUAGACAAAGAACAACAUUCAGAGGACUCAUAUUUUUGUAAAAGGAAAACACUAGUGCUGUGGCAAGCUGGGUGCCUCCCUGGGAGGCCCUGCCCAAGCAUGGUACAUACCUCAUG